Molecule: long non-coding RNA, 177 nt
Organism: Neodiprion fabricii
Lineage: Eukaryota; Metazoa; Arthropoda; Insecta; Hymenoptera; Diprionidae
Exons: 3
Source: RefSeq, a predicted model, not a curated record
CGGAGGUCCUGCACUGAAAAAAAUUUCGUAUGUUACAGUAACUCGAAAAAUUCAGUCAAACAGGUAACGUUAAAAAAAACUGUCUGGAUAUUGUUGGAAUUACGAAAAACGAGGUACGCGUAACCAUUUUGCGCUGUUGUCGAUCUUUUUUUUGGUAAUUGCAACGCAAAAUCAGUU